Molecule: long non-coding RNA, 1198 nt
Organism: Ictalurus punctatus (channel catfish)
Lineage: Eukaryota; Metazoa; Chordata; Actinopteri; Siluriformes; Ictaluridae
Source: Ensembl
AAGAGGAAUGCAGCACACUACAGAUUUCGAAACCUUUGAGGCGUGACCACCAGACAAUCAAACGCUUUGAUAUGAAUAUGCAUGGUCGCAAAAAACGUGUGGAGUAGAAAAGGCGCAAGUUGAUUGCAAGCGCGUUAGUCCCCAGUACCGCCAUAUUUCAGAACUGCAACCUUCCAGGAGUGUCCAGAUGUACGAGGUGUCAGGCGCUGAAACAUGACCACCACUGAAUAAGUCUCACAAGCUUAAGUGUCAUGACAGGGCCAAGAAAUACCAGAAGAGCAAUUUCUCAAAGGUUUUAUGGACAGAUGAAUGAACAGUGACUCUAGAUGGCCCAGAUGGGUGGGCCCGUGUGUGGAUCACUAAUGAACACGGAGUACCAGUUUGAGUGGAGGGGUACUGCUGUGGGCUGGUUAUUAUUAAUGAUGAGCUAGUUGGACCUUUUUGGGUCCAAAAAAAAAAAAAAAAAAAUUGGACUGAAAAUCAACUCCCAAACCUACUGCAAGGUUCUAGAAGACACUUUCUUUAAGAAGUGGUACAGGAAGAAAGCAACAUUCAAGAAGGCCAUGACCUUUAUGCAGGACAAUGCAUGGAGGUACACCACGGCUUGGCUAGUCAGCCGAGGCAUCAAUGAUGACCUGGUCUCCUACCUCACCUGACUUAAAUCCUACUGAGACCUUCUGGGCCAUUCUCAAACAGAAGAUUUACAAUGAGGGUGUACCCCGCCUUGUGCCCCAUGCUCCCUGGGAUAGGCUCCAGGUUCCCCGUGACCCUGAAAAGGAUAAACGGUAUAGAAGAUGGAUGGAUGGAUGGAUGGCUUAAAAUAUGAAUGCUCAUAAAUUGAAGAUGAAAUUAAGGAAGGACCAAUGUUAUCGGAAGGACCUUUAAUGGGAAUGUACAAAUCAACGUGAGCUAGCUAGUAAGCUAGCCAGUGUGCUAUAAAGUGAGUCUGGUUUCUUUGGGUUCUAUUUCCACUAGCGGAACAAAAAUAAACAGAACCUUUGGCUAAUUUCUUGUUUAUAGAAUUUUAUAUAAUAUUGCAUGGGCAAGAGGGCAGUUAUACUGAAUAUCGGCACGGCUGUGAACCCCCCCGGCCUCGAUAUUCAGUACAACCACACUCGUGCUUAUGUGAUAUUGCAUAAUUAUACUGAACUAUGCAAAUGGUGGCAGUAAUUAGGUAUCUUACUCCAUGAAGUGCUCC